Molecule: non-coding RNA, 24 nt
Filed under: Arabidopsis thaliana (thale cress)
Lineage: Eukaryota; Viridiplantae; Streptophyta; Magnoliopsida; Brassicales; Brassicaceae
Source: RNAcentral
AUCUUUGUGUUCCUGUUAUGAAAC